RNAcentral lists this ribosomal RNA (516 nucleotides) under Segatella copri. RNAcentral describes it as "partial 23S ribosomal RNA". It matches the Rfam family "Bacterial large subunit ribosomal RNA", at positions 1 to 521 of the family's 2925-position model. Lineage: Bacteria; Pseudomonadati; Bacteroidota; Bacteroidia; Bacteroidales; Prevotellaceae. The record is from RNAcentral.
UAAAGAAAGUAAGAAAGGGCGUAUGGCGGAUGCCUAGGCUCACGGAGGCGAUGAAGGACGUGAUAAGCUGCGAUAAGCUUCGGGUAGGUGCAAAUAACCCUUGAUCCGAAGAUUUCCGAAUGGGACAACCUAGCCGUCUGAAGGACGGUUACUCUUACCAAGUAAGAGAGCUAACGCAGGGAACUGAAACAUCUUAGUACCUGCAGGAAGAGAAAAUAAAUGAAUGAUUCCCCCAGUAGUGGCGAGCGAACGGGGAACAGCCCAAACCAGUGGCGUCGCAAGGCGUGGCUGGGGUUGUAGGACCGCGACAUUGUAUGCAAAUCGUGAACAGAACACUUUGGAAAAUGUGACCAUAGACGGUGAUAGUCCAGUAUGUGAAGCGAAAUGCAGCAUAGCGGUAUCCUGAGUAACGCGGGACACGAGGAAUCUUGCGCGAAUCUGCCGGGACCAUCCGGUAAGGCUAAAUACUCCCGUGAGACCGAUAGCGAACGAGUACUGUGAAGGAAAGGUGAAAAG